RNAcentral lists this long non-coding RNA (594 nucleotides) under Marmota monax (woodchuck). Lineage: Eukaryota; Metazoa; Chordata; Mammalia; Rodentia; Sciuridae. The record is from RNAcentral.
GUGUCAUUUCCCUCUUAAAAGGAGUGAUCCUCUGUUUUUCUGUACUGUUUUGCCAUGUAUUGUAGAGGCAGUAUAAACAGAGUUACAUGUCCUGGAGGAACCUAGUUAUUAUGCUAAAAGAGAGCCAUGUCCCUCUAGGUCAUGUGCCCUAAAGAAGAUUCUAGUCUUUCCUAAUAUAUUUGUUAUCAUAUUCAUUCUUAGGGCCACUAAAUUCCUGUUGUGUUACCACAAACAUUAAAUCUAUUAUGGUUUAAGAGACUUUGAAUUGCGGAUUGUCAUGCUGUGUCUCCUUCUUCCUGGGUUCUGAGCACCAGAAUCCCCUCCAUGCAGUGGGAAAAACAAAACAAAACAUUUCUUGGCUCUCUCCCCUGGUGGAAGCAAAGUUCCUAAUCUGAAGUCUAGACUAGGAGAGGUAUGAACUGGCAGGGUUCUUCUCUGAACUGGCAGGAUUUGGAAACCCAGAGAAUGGGACCUUGCUCCUGAGUGAAGCUCACCAUAGAUAGACAGCAUGGGAUUUGGGUCCUAACCGGUGCACUAAGGAUUGAAAAUUCCUGAAAACCUCAUUCAUGUGCUCUAUUGAAACAAUUGAGGUUU